RNAcentral lists this antisense RNA (81 nucleotides) under uncultured Plesiomonas sp. Its description in RNAcentral is "antisense RNA of dnaA mRNA". It matches the Rfam family "antisense RNA of dnaA mRNA". Lineage: Bacteria; Pseudomonadati; Pseudomonadota; Gammaproteobacteria; Enterobacterales; Enterobacteriaceae. The record is from RNAcentral.
UUUAGCAUUCGGCUUACGGGCAAUAAUCCCGUUACCUACCGCAUGUAACAAGUGGGUUUUACCAAGACCGGUGCCGCCAUA